UACGAAGGGGGGCUAGCGUUGUUCGGAAUUACUGGGCGUAAAGCGCACGUAGGCGGACAUUUAAGUUGGAGGUGAAAGCCUUGGGCUCAACCCAAGAAUUGCCUUUGAUACUGGAUGUCUCGAGACCGGGAGAGGUGAGUGGAAUUCCGAGUGUAGAGGUGAAAUUCGUAGAUAUUCGGAAGAACACCAGUGGCGAAGGCGGCUCACUGGCCCGGUUCUGACGCUGAGGUGCGAAAGCGUGGGGAGCAAACAGG
RNAcentral lists this ribosomal RNA (254 nucleotides) under uncultured bacterium. Its description in RNAcentral is "partial 16S ribosomal RNA". It matches the Rfam family "Bacterial small subunit ribosomal RNA", at positions 524 to 776 of the family's 1533-position model. The record is from RNAcentral.